This 75-nucleotide small RNA is filed under the name Mytilus galloprovincialis (Mediterranean mussel). Lineage: Eukaryota; Metazoa; Mollusca; Bivalvia; Mytilida; Mytilidae. The record is from RNAcentral.
GAUUGCCCUUGUUUGCAUAUCAUAUAAAGUUAUAAAGGGAUAUAACUUUAUAUGAUAUGCAAACAAGGGCAAUAA